AUGAGUGUGACAUGAUACGCGGGAAAGUGGGUAAUGUAGUGUAAUUUUAAUCAAAUAUGUUAUUCGUUGUGAUUUCUGAUUGUCGUGGGCAAUCCAUAUAUGUUUAUAUCGAGCAAAUCUGAUUUUAGUGCCACUGUUCAAUACUUUGAACUCGGUUUCAAUCAAUACUUUAAAACUGUGCUGUCGUCUUCGUAGAGAAUAUUACAUUUUUUAAAACUCAAGAAAAAACCACAGGUCCCAGAAUGCAACAUUUUACGUCCGUAUGUGACGUCACUGCGGACGUGUGAAUGAGAUGUGGACGAAUGGGGAGGUGAAUAGACGCAGUAAAGAUGAGCGUUCUGAAGGAUCUCAAGUGCUUUACGGUGAGGGGGUUGGACACUCAUCUCAACCACCAACCAGUGUGUAGCAACCGUUUGGGUAAAGCAAGGCAGCCAUUUUGAACCGGAGCACUUACCACACGGCUGCUGCAGGUGAUCGCCCAUUGUGAGUGAGCCUCUGCUGCUGUCCAUGGUGCUGAAAGCCUCAGAUUUUGGAAGAUGGCUGGAAUUCCUAAUGGUGGCCAAAAGAGAAGGGGGAGCCCCUCCCCUCUUCCUCCCCAACCCAAACCGCCAUCACAUUUCCCUUAUUGCUUAAAGGUAAGCUGAUUUCGGGGGGUAAUGUUCCCCUUAAUUAAGAAUUAAUACGAGAACACGGUCCGCAAUAUGAACUGCCAACAUAAAGACAUGCUGUGCGGCUCUGGCUGUGAGUGACUUGCUGUAUGUGUUUGGGCAAAUUGCUGCGUUUCACAGAUGGAUGGUUGCCUGGGGGUCACUGUUAUGAAAUAAUCUUCAUAUGUGCUGCUGUGAAGCCUAGCUAACUCCAGUGCUCUAGCGCAGACACGUCCAGGCCGACAACUACGCACGCCGAGAGAGGAGCAGCAUGAUGUAACAUGCAACAGACAUUUGGCAUAUCGCGCUUACUCCACUGCCAGGCUUCAGAUCAGAACGGACUCAUUAAUUACACCGUUGAGAGUAUUUAUAUUUCCCUGUUUUUGUCAGAGGCGAGCGUGAUGAACUGUCCACCCAGAGGUUGUUAUUGUAAUUGGCAUUUUAAAAUGGCAAUUAGCACAACAACAAAAAAAAAAGUUAAAUUUGAGAUUGCAGUGCAAGACUCACGUUGCUUUCAAACAAGGUAAGUUGUCAUUUCACAAGAAUAUCAAUGAAACACUUGUGAUGCUACUUGUUGAUGCUUGCUUGCCUGUGCUUACGUGUCUUGUAUGUUCUUUUAUGCUGCUCGUAAUGCAUCUUGUUAAUGCUCAGUAGUUUUACUCACUUGUCUGUGCUUAUGUGUUUUGUAUGCUCUUUUAUGCUGCCUGUAAUGCUUCUUGUCAAUGUUUGCAUAUUUUUUUACUCAUUUGUCUGUGCUUAUGUGUUAUGUAUGUUCUUUUAUGUUCCUUAAACCAUCAACCUGCCCAGGGACUACAGAUGAAAAUUAGCCUGUAUGAGUAAAUGUGGCACAUUUACAUGAUGCAUCUAAGUUCUCAUGUUUAUUAAUGUGCACUGUCCCUUUCUUAAAUAAAAAAAAUAUCUGCCACUUCUAGAUGACUGGAUGAUUGCUGUCUUUCUUGGAGGCUCAUCUUGUUUGGUGUCCUCAGUGAAAUCCUGGAGAGCGAAGAUGGGCACUUUCUGACUCCUGCGGACCAAUAAAAUAAUCCCAUUCACUCCUGCAGACCAAUGAGAUAAUGCCACUGACUCCUGCUGACCAGUGAGAUAAUCCCAUUCACUCCUGCUGACCAAUGAGAUAAUCCCACUCACGCAUGCAAACCAAAGCCCUUCUGUUUCAGCCUGCCACGCCCAGCCCUGUGUCAAUGAACAGGAGAGACGCAACUUCCUGGAUCCUCUGUCCAUGCGAAAUACAGCAUUAUACACAGGAGGUCCAGGGAGCUGUGACAUGCGAGAAGGCAUCAGCAGUGAUUGGUUGCAGCCAUUGUCCUAUGAGCUGUCACAGGGGAGAUGCAUGCGCAUAAGACUCAUCCGAUGGAAAGACUGCAGCCAGCAGGAGGACUUACAAGCAACAACAAAAAAAGAAUCAUAGCUGACAACCCUUUCUUUCUUUGGAAGAGAGUGCAUGCUUGUUGCUCUUCUGAAAUUGGUGGAGGACAUUGCAUUGCAUUACAAGCAUUUAGAAGACGCUCUUAUCCAGAGUGACUUAUACAACUUCUGUAUAUUGCAUCCUUUUGUACAUACACAGUUCCUUACCCAUUAUACUACACUGCCACCCUAUCACACCAGUGAGGCGGGCCCAUGAAUGGAAAUUGACUUUUGAAAUUUGAAGGAAAUAGAUAAGUUAAGGUUGCAGAAUUGGCCCUUUGAGGAAAGGAUCACAGAAAAAAUAAGUUGAUCAAUUUCUCAUAAUCAGAGAGGGUAAGCAAUGCCCCCUAGUGGUUAAUAUUGUCCUGAAUUUAGCACAUGAUUGAACAUCAAAGCAAGAUAGAAAACAAGUCUUGGAAACACUGCCCUAGAAACAGUUGCAAGGUUGCUGAAAUUUAAAUAAAUUAAAUAGAAGCAUGCACAUGCAUUAGAGUUAAUGCAAAAUUAGGCUUACAGUAUGUUUAGGCAUAAGGGAAAGGUUAGUCCCUCAUGUGGUUGGCCAAAAUGUUUGUUAACUAUUUUGCUCACUUAACCUUAAGCCUAAUAUAUGAUUUUUCAUUUUUCAGUUAUAUAUCAAAAAUGACAUUCUUUUGUUAAAAAAUACUGAUAUUUGAGUUGACUGCUAGGGCUAAAACUAGAAUUUCUAGGAUUCGCAGUAGAAUCCUAUCUGGCCCACUGUUGCCCGGGUACUUUACAGCUGUUAGUCCGGCUGCUGGGUGUGUGUUGGUGUACAGACUGUUUGUUUCUAUGGUGAACAGGAUGGCUUCCUGUUGUAUUUUUAUAUUUUUUAUUUUGUUGAUAAAAUCAUAUGGGUCUUUGAUGUAGCUGGUGUGUUUUGUGGAUAGUGCACUGUGACAAUAAUGUGUGUAUUCAGCCAUCCCUGUAGGAUUCACUUUUGAAUUCAA
This is a long non-coding RNA of Anguilla anguilla (European eel), 3034 nucleotides long. RefSeq lists it as uncharacterized. The transcript is spliced from 6 exons. The record is from RefSeq and is a predicted model, not a curated record. NCBI's taxonomy places the organism in Eukaryota, Metazoa, Chordata, Actinopteri, Anguilliformes, Anguillidae.